GUCUCAAGAGUGAACACGUAAUUCAUUACGAAGUUUAAUUCAUUGAGCAUCAAACUUUUAAAUUGAAGAGUUUGAUCAUGGCUCAGAUUGAACGCUGGCGGCAGGCCUAACACAUGCAAGUCGAACGGUAACAGGAAGCAGCUUGCUGCUUUGCUGACGAGUGGCGGACGGGUGAGUAAUGUCUGGGAAACUGCCUGAUGGAGGGGGAUAACUACUGGAAACGGUGGCUAAUACCGCAUAACGUCGCAAGACCAAAGAGGGGGACCUUCGGGCCUCUUGCCAUCAGAUGUGCCCAGAUGGGAUUAGCUUGUUGGUGAGGUAACGGCUCACCAAGGCGACGAUCCCUAGCUGGUCUGAGAGGAUGACCAGCCACACUGGAACUGAGACACGGUCCAGACUCCUACGGGAGGCAGCAGUGGGGAAUAUUGCACAAUGGGCGCAAGCCUGAUGCAGCCAUGCCGCGUGUAUGAAGAAGGCCUUCGGGUUGUAAAGUACUUUCAGCGGGGAGGAAGGUGUUGUGGUUAAUAACCGCAGCAAUUGACGUUACCCGCAGAAGAAGCACCGGCUAACUCCGUGCCAGCAGCCGCGGUAAUACGGAGGGUGCAAGCGUUAAUCGGAAUUACUGGGCGUAAAGCGCACGCAGGCGGUCUGUCAAGUCGGAUGUGAAAUCCCCGGGCUCAACCUGGGAACUGCAUUCGAAACUGGCAGGCUUGAGUCUUGUAGAGGGGGGUAGAAUUCCAGGUGUAGCGGUGAAAUGCGUAGAGAUCUGGAGGAAUACCGGUGGCGAAGGCGGCCCCCUGGACAAAGACUGACGCUCAGGUGCGAAAGCGUGGGGAGCAAACAGGAUUAGAUACCCUGGUAGUCCACGCCGUAAACGAUGUCUACUUGGAGGUUGUGCCCUUGAGGCGUGGCUUCCGGAGCUAACGCGUUAAGUAGACCGCCUGGGGAGUACGGCCGCAAGGUUAAAACUCAAAUGAAUUGACGGGGGCCCGCACAAGCGGUGGAGCAUGUGGUUUAAUUCGAUGCAACGCGAAGAACCUUACCUGGUCUUGACAUCCACGGAAGUUUUCAGAGAUGAGAAUGUGCCUUCGGGAACCGUGAGACAGGUGCUGCAUGGCUGUCGUCAGCUCGUGUUGUGAAAUGUUGGGUUAAGUCCCGCAACGAGCGCAACCCUUAUCCUUUGUUGCCAGCGGUCCGGCCGGGAACUCAAAGGAGACUGCCAGUGAUAAACUGGAGGAAGGUGGGGAUGACGUCAAGUCAUCAUGGCCCUUACGACCAGGGCUACACACGUGCUACAAUGGCGCAUACAAAGAGAAGCGACCUCGCGAGAGCAAGCGGACCUCAUAAAGUGCGUCGUAGUCCGGAUUGGAGUCUGCAACUCGACUCCAUGAAGUCGGAAUCGCUAGUAAUCGUGGAUCAGAAUGCCACGGUGAAUACGUUCCCGGGCCUUGUACACACCGCCCGUCACACCAUGGGAGUGGGUUGCAAAAGAAGUAGGUAGCUUAACCUUCGGGAGGGCGCUUACCACUUUGUGAUUCAUGACUGGGGUGAAGUCGUAACAAGGUAACCGUAGGGGAACCUGCGGUUGGAUCACCUCCUUACCUUAAAGAAGCGUACUUUGCAGUGCUCACACAGAUUGUCUGAUGAAAA
RNAcentral lists this ribosomal RNA (1650 nucleotides) under Salmonella enterica subsp. enterica serovar Paratyphi A. Its description in RNAcentral is "bacterial SSU rRNA". It matches the Rfam family "Bacterial small subunit ribosomal RNA". Lineage: Bacteria; Pseudomonadati; Pseudomonadota; Gammaproteobacteria; Enterobacterales; Enterobacteriaceae. The record is from RNAcentral.